UGCAAUAAACAUAAAAUUUGCUUGAUGAUUCAUGUUGCCACCUUCAUCGUACCCCUUGAUCUUCAUGCAUCCAAAAAUAUAUGGAAGCACUCUCACUAGAGUGAAAUAAUGAAAUAAUAUAAUUUUAUGAGAAGCUUAUAUUUGAACUAUCAUAACAUAUAAAGAUGCAUUUAGAGUUAGUAAUUAAAAAUAUUCAAUGAAUCAUAGAAUACGAAAACAAAAACUUAGCGAUGAAUAAGGUGAAAAAAGAUCUAAACCUUUUCCAACAUAGAAGACAAAUAAGAAAAGCAUUUAAAUAAACAUCAUAAACUUAAGGAGAUAGAGAAAAGAAGUAAAACUUACAGUUUGGCACUAGAAGAGAUUGAAAUUUCUCAUAGGCAUUUUUUUCGUGAGUAUCCUAUAAAUAAAAAACAAACAAUUGAAGCAUAAACCUAAGUCAAUUAGGUGUACGGCACAAAACCUAUGGAAUCUUCAAAAUCGCACUCACUACUUAUAAAUUACAAGGCAUAAUAACUAUUAAAUUGCUAGAAUAACUUGUCAAUUGAAGUUAAAUAAUUCGUAAAUUGAAGUGAAAGAAAGACAUAAGAAAAUGGGAAGGGGGAGUGGCGGCUGAGGGAGAUGAAGUAGGAAGUUUAGGUUUAG
Molecule: long non-coding RNA, 642 nt
Filed under: Nicotiana benthamiana
Lineage: Eukaryota; Viridiplantae; Streptophyta; Magnoliopsida; Solanales; Solanaceae
Description: long non-coding RNA (NBEN_LNC030270)
Source: RNAcentral